Molecule: ribosomal RNA, 253 nt
Filed under: uncultured bacterium
Lineage: Bacteria
Description: partial 16S ribosomal RNA
Rfam family: Bacterial small subunit ribosomal RNA
Source: RNAcentral
UACGGAGGGUGCAAGCGUUGUCCGGAUUUAUUGGGUUUAAAGGGUGCGUAGGUGGCUAUUUAAGUCAGUGGUGAAAGUCUGCAGCUCAACUGUAGAAUUGCCAUUGAUACUGAAUAGCUUGAGUAUUGAUGAGGUAGGCGGAAUUGAUAGUGUAGCGGUGAAAUGCAUAGAUAUUAUCAAGAACACCGAUUGCGAAGGCAGCUUACUAAGGAAUAACUGACACUGAGGCACGAAAGCGUGGGGAUCAAACAGG